AAAGACUCAAUUCUUGGGUUUCCGUCUCCAACGUUUGAUCGUCCGUCUUAUAUGAAAUUUUUUUAUGAUUAGUAUUUUCAUUAUUGCUAGAUGAUAAAACAUAAAUAAUAUUUUAUGCAUGGCUUAUCUUUUUAAAUUUUUUUAUAUUUUUUUAAAAUAAGACGGACGAUCAAACGUUAGACACGAAAACUCAGGAAUUGAGUUUUU
This 207-nucleotide microRNA precursor is filed under the name Oryza nivara. RNAcentral describes it as "MIR812 microRNA precursor family". It matches the Rfam family "MIR812 microRNA precursor family". Lineage: Eukaryota; Viridiplantae; Streptophyta; Magnoliopsida; Poales; Poaceae. The record is from Rfam by way of RNAcentral.